UAAGGGGCCCAUCUGAGCUUUCAUUUUCUCAAAGGCAUAGCAGGAUACCCAGGACUCGGUUUUCACCUAUCACCAUUUCUAGCCACUGGGGUACCAUAGGCAGGCUGGGGGAACUCAUAUUAAUGUUAAAAAACUCACAAAGUGGAUUUUUCCUGCCAUGGGACCUUUAAGCUCUUCUGAAUGCGAACAGAUUUACAAAAUGGAUCACAACAAGCUGAAGACGAAAAUACGGACCGCUAGCUGGAAGCACAAAAACCUUAAAGUUUCACUCCAGACCCUGUUGGGUGAGAAAACAUUAAAGAAAGUAGAGUUUUUUUAUUGACACUCCAAAAUUACGAGGAGUCCAACAAGUGUUGGAGGAGUUGCUGGCAUCCUGUGAAGACAAGCCAUGUGGUGACUUGGAUAUGGAUUUUGCCUUUGAACUGUUUGAGUAAUAUUUCAAGAGAUGAACAAUUGAAAGAGAAUGAUUCCAGGACUGCAUUCUGUAUCCAAAUUAUGAUAGAAAAAAGAGCUGCAAUCUGCUCCAUCUACUACUGUCAUGGACAAUGAGCCAAUAUUUCUUCAGUCCUGUUAUGAAACCCAAACGUCCUGGACCACAUGACAGUCAUCCAGUGCCUAACACAGACACUUCGGCUUGGCUCUGGUCCAUGGACCCCAAGGAGGACCAUCAGUGGACAGAGCCAUCGAUCCACCAUGCCACCCGGAGUUCAACAACGCCAACCACAGCAAGCAGCACACCAACAGCAACACCCACCGGCUUCACCACAGCACACACUGGGUCAUUUUCUAGUUUUUUUGCCAUUAAACAGGGUUGAAGUUAAACAGGACACAGGUGCAGACUCACCACUUAAUAAGUAUUAGCACUACUUUAAUCUGUCAGAGUUGCCAAGGGAUUUAAUCCCACGUUAAAAUGUUUUCCACCUUAAAUAACUUUUUGAAAUCUUAUGCAAUCUAAAAGGUACAGACUGGGGCCUGAAAACAUCACGAGUACACAACACCAACACAAUGGAAUACAACUGUUGGCACAGCAACAGAGCGACAGUGUCAAAAAAUACUUUCAACGGCUGAUUAUAUUUAAUGUACUAUCAAAGGGAAUAACAGGUACUUGCUAGAUUAAAAAAA
Etheostoma cragini (Arkansas darter) is the source of this 1122-nucleotide long non-coding RNA. RefSeq lists it as uncharacterized. The transcript is spliced from 2 exons. NCBI's taxonomy places the organism in Eukaryota, Metazoa, Chordata, Actinopteri, Perciformes, Percidae. The record is from RefSeq and is a predicted model, not a curated record.